RNAcentral lists this long non-coding RNA (649 nucleotides) under Triticum aestivum (bread wheat). Its description in RNAcentral is "long non-coding RNA (TAES_LNC013026)". Lineage: Eukaryota; Viridiplantae; Streptophyta; Magnoliopsida; Poales; Poaceae. The record is from RNAcentral.
UCGAACGACAACUGCACCAUGAGAUCCAUGGCUGCAGAUAGGGUUGAAUUGAUCUACAAAGUACGAAAAAGGACGAGCAGUCAGGCAUAAGUAAUUCUCACUUGAUAUGCAGAGAGCCAGAGCGGAUACGAGGAUGGAAAACACAUGCGAGAGAUAUAGGGCGCUUUCGUUUCAGACAUCCCGUCCCGUUCCCAAUAAAAAACGGGAUUUUCGGGUGCGUCCGUUUUACUUCAAGUAUAUAUAAGACUCAGAACCAAUACCAUUUCAGACGAAAAAGGAUACGGUAGUGAUCUAAUCAGACAUUUAGAAACCACAGCUACAGUGAAAAAACAUGUAAACACCUUUGUGUGUGUGACAAAAAAAGUUGCAAUCAUAUCUGGACUCACCGGACAUAAGCAGUUCGUUAUCAGAUCAAAUCGACCCGUGUCUGCACAAUUUACACCACAUAGUGCACAUGAACAACAAGGUUGAAUCAGAAACAGUGUAUACAGCCGGUCACGAGCACAUCUAGCAGGCACCGACAUCAAAUCUGAGGGUGAGAAAAAAGAGAUCAAACUUGGAGGUGAUUAGUCUUGAAUAAAUGUUAAGGAACGAGGGGAGCGAGAUCCGAACAAUCUUACCCAAAAAAUAGAGAGAAAAAAACCAGGGG